Molecule: ribosomal RNA, 596 nt
Filed under: Cladonema radiatum
Lineage: Eukaryota; Metazoa; Cnidaria; Hydrozoa; Anthoathecata; Cladonematidae
Description: partial 16S ribosomal RNA
Rfam family: Bacterial large subunit ribosomal RNA
Source: RNAcentral
GCCCUUAAAGAAAUAAAAGGUGUCACCUGCCCAAUGGUUAUUAAGUAAGAAAAUUAAACUUUUCUUAAAAUAAUUUAAAGGACGCGGUAUCCUGACCGUGAUAAUGUAGCAUAAUCACUCGCCAUUUAAUUGAUGGAUAGUAUGAAUGGUUAAACGAAUAUAACACUGUCUCUAAUAGAAAAUUUAUAAAAUUGGAAUAAUAGUAAAGAUACUAUUUAAAACUGUAAGACGAAAAGACCCUAUAGAGCUUAACUAUAAUCUUUAAUAUAAUAAAUUAAGUUUACUUAUAUAAUGAUUAAAGAUAGGUAGUUUAGUUGGGGCGACUGUCUUUUAUAAUAAACAAAGACAAGCAAUAUUAAUAAAAUAAUUUACUGUAUAAAUAAUAAUUUUAACAGUUAUUAACAUAGGCUAUAAUGACCCGUUUAUAUAUUAAAUAUUAAUAAACGAUCAAUAAAUAAAAGCUACCUUAGGGAUAACAGGAUAAUUUCAUUUUAGAGUCCCGAUCGAAAAUGAAGUUUGUCACCUCUAUGUUGAAUUAAGAUAUCCUAAUAAUGCAGAAGUUAUUAAAGGUAGGUCUGUUCGACCUUUAAAAUCUU